CCGGUGGAUUCCUGAGAACAAAACUCUUUGUCAGAGUCAGGUGAUCGAAUAGAGGAGAAAUAUAGAAGGAGAGAUGUGCAGAGACAGAGAUACAGAGAGUGGCUAGGCUGACAGCCCCUAUGGCAGAUGGGCAGAGAUUGAUAGAUGUGUUUGAGUCGGUGGGGACAUCAGAGUCACUGUCCGCGUGGUUUUAUAAAGGUGCUUGUCCCUGAUGGUCACGGCCCUGUUAUGUCUUCUUCAGGGUCAGAGACAGAGAGGCUCAGACAAAAACAACUUGAACAAUGAUGCUUGUGAGCGCCCCACACUUUUGACAGCAUGCAUCAAUCAAACAUGUAGCCUAGACUCAAUUCUUUGAUAGGACACCUUGAUGGCUGAGAGAUGCAUGACACCCUGUUUCACCUGGCAGUAAACAAAGUCUACGGAUUAUUCAUGAGAGCCCUCCAGGAAGCUGCGACUCGUGGAUCGAUUCUCAACACCACCUUAAAGCUGCAAAAAAGACAACAAAGAACAAUAACCAUCAUCAUCGCCACCAUUAUAUCUCUGGCCAUCACAAGGAUCGUUAUCUCCCUGAAUGAUACUCCUCUCCUGUGCCGGUUAUAUCAGCAGACUGCAUUUCCAGAUGUUCAUGAAUGAUUUGUCUAUGGGGCUUCUUCUGUGAUGAUUUGAUAAGGUAUUGUUGUUGAUGGUGCUGUCUUACAGCUGACUUACACCUACAAAAACAAUCCACCACAUGUAGCAGCGUGAGGCAUAUGUUUAAUGUGUUGUCACACCUACGGAUUGAAAGGAAUUUGAUUUCAAUGAUGCUCUUGAAAGUCGCGUGUAAACAGACAGUGUAAACGCUUUUGCAGGAAGCCCCCCCUCAGUGAGACUGAACAAGAUCAGAAUGAUUGAGAGAGUGAUAUAUAGUAUGUUUGGAUAUGAGGUAUGGAGUUCUGGGUAGAUUGUAGUCUGUUACUGAUUACAAAUUACAUGAUGGACAUUAUAGUUUGUAAUACUGGAUUACACAUAAGAGGUAAUGUGGUCUGACUACUUUUUGAUUACUUCUGAUCUCCAUUCUUUGUUGUCAACAUCAUGAAGUGUAUGAAACAUUACAAGUAAUCUAAUAAUCAAAUUACAAGUGCUUAUUUUUUUUAAAUCUGAUUACGUAAAUGACAUGUAAUAAAUUACUACCCAGGACUGACUACACUAUACUAUACUAUACUAUAUUAUACUUUACUUUUUGCAGUAUGUGUACUAUAUACUGUUGACUGCAUGAAAUACCCAAAUAAUCAAAUAGAUUUGUUAACAGUGCAUAAUGUGAGAUACUGUAUCACUCAGUGAAUUGCACUCAAGCUAACCUGCCAUUUCCAGCCAUUUCAGUUAGAUUUUUGCAAGUAGGAUGUGUUCCUGCAUCAGUGUAUUUUGUUGGUCCAGAUGCAAUAUUUCCAUCA
This 1430-nucleotide long non-coding RNA is filed under the name Carassius auratus (goldfish). RNAcentral's name for it is "lncRNA (ENSCARG00000033808.1)". The record is from RNAcentral. Lineage: Eukaryota; Metazoa; Chordata; Actinopteri; Cypriniformes; Cyprinidae.